Non-coding RNA from Hydra vulgaris (swiftwater hydra), 252 nucleotides. The record is from RefSeq and is a predicted model, not a curated record. Lineage: Eukaryota; Metazoa; Cnidaria; Hydrozoa; Anthoathecata; Hydridae.
CCUUACUAUACGGAAUAACAAACAUAUGAUUAAAAAUGUGGUAUAAAAACAACACAAAUAUAGCGUUCAUACGAAAGUCGGGUGGCAUUAUCAACUCUGGUUGUUGCAGUAACUUUAAUGAAACAAUUUUGAUCGACUUUUUGACCAAAUACUCCACUUGGAAUAAUUCAAUAUAAGAUUUCGAAUACUCGAUAAAACGCAGAUCUGGAAAAAUAUUUUUUGUAUUUGUAUAAAAAGAUUAUGGCUUCUUGA